CUUAGAUCGUACCCACACUUACUUGGAUAACUGUGGUAAUUCUAGAGCUAAUACAUGCAAACAUAACUCCGACCGGAGACGGAAGGAGUGCUUUUAUUAGAUCAAAACCAAUCGGUGGCGGGCUUGCUCGUCAUCGCACAACUUGGUGACUCUGAAUAACUUUGUGCUGAUCGCACGGUCUUCGCACCGGCGACGCAUCUUUCAAAUGUCUGCCUUAUCAACUGUCGAUGGUAGGUUCUGCGCCUACCAUGGUUGUAACGGGUAACGGGGAAUCAGGGUUCGAUUCCGGAGAGGGAGCCUGAGAAACGGCUACCACAUCCAAGGAAGGCAGCAGGCGCGCAAAUUACCCACUCCCGGCACGGGGAGGUAGUGACGAAAAAUAACGAUACGGGACUCAUCCGAGGCCCCGUAAUCGGAAUGAGUACACUCUAAACCCUUUAACGAGGAUCAAUUGGAGGGCAAGUCUGGUGCCAGCAGCCGCGGUAAUUCCAGCUCCAAUAGCGUAUAUUAAAGUUGUUGCGGUUAAAAAGCUCGUAGUCGAAUUUGUGUCUCGUGCCGCUGGUUCAUCGUUCGCGGUGUUAACUGGCGAGUCGCGAGACGUCCUGCCGGUGGGCUUAGCCUGCAAGGGCGGCCCAACUCAAUCCUGCCGCGGUGCUCUUCAUUGAGUGUCGAGGUGGGCCGGCACGUUUACUUUGAACAAAUUAGAAGUGCUUAAAGCAGGCUAAAACUUCGCCUGAAUAUUGUGUGCAUGGAAUAAUGGAAUAGGACCUCGGUUCUAUUUUGUUGGUUUUCGGAAACCCCGAGGUAAUGAUUAAUAGGAACGGAUGGGGGCAUUCGUAUUGCGACGUUAGAGGUGAAAUUCUUGGAUCGUCGCAAGACGGACAGAAGCGAAAGCAUUUGCCAAAAACGCUUUCAUUGAUCAAGAACGAAAGUUAGAGGUUCGAAGGCGAUCAGAUACCGCCCUAGUUCUAACCUUAAACGAUGCCAGCUAGCGAUCCGUCGACGUUCCUCCGAUGACUCGACGGGCAGCUUCCGGGAAACCAAAGCUUUUGGGUUCCGGGGGAAGUAUGGUUGCAAAGCUGAAACUUAAAGGAAUUGACGGAAGGGCACCACCAGGAGUGGAGCCUGCGGCUUAAUUUGACUCAACACGGGAAAUCUCACCAGGCCCGGACACCGGAAGGAUUGACAGAUUGAGAGCUCUUUCUUGAUUCGGUGGGUGGUGGUGCAUGGUCGUUCUUAGUUGGUGGAGCGAUUUGUCUGGUUAAUUCCGAUAACGAACGAGACUCUAGCCUGCUAAAUAGGCGUAUUUUGACAUCCUAAAGGCCCGCCGGCUUGGGGUUCGCUCCUUGUCGUGCGCGGUUUUUACUGUCGGCGUACAAACAAUUCUUCUUAGAGGGACAGGUGGCUUCUAGUCGCACGAGAUUGAGCAAUAACAGAUCUGUAAUGCCCUUAGAUGUUCUGGGCCGCACGCGCGCUACACUGAAGGAAUCAGCGUGUCCUCCCUGGCCGAGUGGCCCGGGUAACCCGCUGAACCUCCUUCGUGCUAGG
This 1548-nucleotide ribosomal RNA is filed under the name Hylurgus ligniperda. Its description in RNAcentral is "SSU rRNA". It matches the Rfam family "Eukaryotic small subunit ribosomal RNA", at positions 119 to 1574 of the family's 1831-position model. The record is from RNAcentral. Lineage: Eukaryota; Metazoa; Arthropoda; Insecta; Coleoptera; Curculionidae.